AAAAUUAAGUUGUUCUUACCUUGGUGUGACACGGAGAAGACAAAGAAAUCAACAGAAAACAGCUCUUUGUAUGGACAAAUGAAGAAGAAUGCUAGAAGAAUGGGAACAAAUACCUCUAUCUUUCUCUCUUUCUUAUAGGGAUAAAUAAUUACCCUCACAAGUUGAUUUAAUCCCCUACUUAAGGUAGGCUUAAAUAGGCUUUGGUGGUGAUUUAUUUCCAUUUCCUAGAAUAAUCUAGUUACAAGUCCAAGUGGGAAUCUGCAUCAAGGUUGGAGAUCUCUACACCUACUGCAUUUUCCUACGAGCAGCCCAGCAGGUGUAGGGGCAUUUGUGGAGCAAAAAAUAAUCCCAAAAAUUAUGGAGGUAACACGUGGAUUUUUAGACAAGAAGGACAAAAUUACUCUCGAGGCACACUGGGAUUCCUACGCGCAUGCAACAGACAAUAACGACUCAAUCAAGGAAUAGUCAAAGGUGAUCAAUAUGGUAUUUAUUCAAAUCUCUCUCAUCACUCCUCAUCAAUCCCUUAUUGAUUUUAUUCAAAAGGUAACUCCCAAAACUUCCUAUUUAAUUUAUGAAUAAUUGCCAUAUAUGUAAUUAUUCACCCAAAACUUCCUAUGUAAUUAUUCACCCAAUUACACCAUAUAUGAAUGGCCACUCUCCACCAAUAGGGUCGGCCACCCUCCUAUAAAUGCUCCACUUAUCUUACUAAAAUACUAAGUCAUUGCUACCCACAAACUCUUAAAAACAUUCUUUUCAUAAUUCUAAAUUUGGCAUCGGAGAUUCUUCGGCCAAAUCUCCCCCAUUUCAUCGUGAACGCGUGAGGCUUUUGGCCUUAAUCUUAGGUGUUAUUAUUUUGCAAGUGCAUUUUCGUCAAAUGAGAAGACGAAAAUUUGCAUCCACAUAUGAGUCUUACUAUUACUUGAAACUACACAACGAUAAUUUCAAAUCUUGAAACUCAAUGACCCAUUUGGUGAGUUAGAUGGGAUGAGUUAUGUCCAAUUAAAUUCAUGUCUCUUUCCUUUUUUAUUCGAAAAUUGCUAAUUUCUCUUUAUAGAUUUGAUUCAACUAAGUAAUUUUUCUUUGUCAACCAAUUUUCGACUGAACAAUUUCAUUGAAAGUAGUGAGCCGGGGCUUGAAGGUGGAUUUGGAUUUGGUUUGUUAUAUAUAUAUAUAUGCUAAUAACAAUUCCCAACUGUUAUUAGCACUCCAAAAAUUUUAUUCCACACUCCUUACAAGUGUAUUUUUCUUUCUAAUUAUAGAUAGUUUGGAGUGCAAAAUGAGAUUUUUGGAGUGUUACUACAAUUCCCUUAUAUAUUUAUACAGGCAGAUGAAAACACUCUUCUUGAACGCAUGCGUCGAGCUGCAUAACUCAUCCAUCUCAAUGCGCUAGUUCCACGGAAAUCAUGUAGAAUUUUGAUGAGGAAGUGCGCUUUCCUUAUCGAAUGAGGUGUUCCAUCCGUCAAGAGAAAAAAAUAGUAUGCAGCUUUGUGCUUGACAUCAGUCUGCUUAAGUUGUUUGACUGCAUCACGAACUGCCACUACAUUUUCAGCAACACUUUGCGUACGGAACAACCCGAGCGCAAAGUCCAUAGCAAUAUCCUGCCAAAUGUCAUUGGGAACAGGCAAAGGCAUGUAGAGGCAAGUGUUUUGAACUUGUCUUUUAGAAACUUGACAAGUAUAAGAUUUCCGCACAAUUGCUCCAGCAUUGAAUCCGAAAUAUUUAUAAGAUAUCUUUCAGAAUUGUCUCGUUGUUGAAUUCAGAUAGUCCCACAUCAAGAUUUGUGCAUCCGAUAGCUGGAAUCACUCGGUAACGUAAAAAGCACUUCUUCGUAUAAGUUCAUGUUUGUCCAAUAUUGUGCUUACCUUUUAUCAUGUAAGCAAAUACUUUCCUCAUGUCCCUUGAACACCCGAUAAGUUUGUGUAUGUUAUCGGAAGGCAUGUAAUUGUGCAUAAAGUUUGUUUAAUAUUUGUUUGUCUUCACAUGUGUUGACACUUGAUUUCCUCAUGUAAACAUUUGAGGUACGUUAUGAAAGCAAUGAAAGAAACUAUGUGCUACAACAGCUAGCUACAAAGCAAUAGGUGAGUUUUUGGUAAAUUACAUAUUGGAUCUAAUUUGUUGUAAUUACACCAACACUGCUCUUAUUGUUUUACCGGCGUGGUGAUUUGACUAAGCAAGGGAAAGAGGUUGUUGCUAACUUGCUAGUUUGGAGAUCUCAGAUUUUACCGAGGACUAAGUUGCGCCACUAUUUACUGUCCAAAAAUGCUACUCUUCUUACCAUUUUUUUAAUAUCACAAUUUUUUUCAUUUCGUUAAUAGAGAUUGGACCCAUGUGAUAUUCUUCAAUUCUGCAAAGACAAACAAAACAAGGAUAUGAGCUUUAAUCUUGGGCAAUUUUUUUAUCCAUUUGAUAUUGCUCCUUGACUGAAUUCCUUAUAUAUAAAUGUAAUCACAUUAGGAUCAACGCACUGUACAAUAGAACAAUAAAAUAAAGGAAACUUUCAUGAAAAUGGCUUGAACUAAGUUUAUUUUAAUAAAAAUGAUGCUAUAACUUCAUUUAAUGAAAAAGACUUAAAUUUUAAUGAAAAACUCUUAAAUUUUAAUAAAAAUGACAAAAAAACUUAAAUUUUAAUAAAAAAAGACAUAAUUUUUAUAUUUAAAAAAAAUUUGACCCGCAGACCCACACGCUCUCACACAAACUAUUUAUGAAACUUACUACACUGUUUAUGAAACUUAUUACAUUGUUUAUGAAACUUUCUACACUAUUUAUGAAACUUAACGAUAUUACACUGUUUAUAAAAUUUAAUAGUAGAUGCUCAUCCUAGAUUUUCAAGUUCUUUUACCGUAAUGUAAUAAAAAAAUUAAAAAAACUUGAUAGAUAUCUACGUCCAUGCCGUUAAAGUCAUGCAUGGCUAAUAGCUCAAUACCAUUACUAGAAAAAUGGGUGAUGAGUCCAACGAUGUUGUCAAUGAUGUUGCCCCACCCCUAACCCAACAAUCCCAACCCACACUUAACCGACUCCCUCCCAACCAUACCACCCCAUAUGUGGUUCUGAAUCGAAAGAAACCCACUUCAAUUUGAAAUUUUAAUUUUAGAGGAAUAAAAUAUGCUUGGAUUAUAUCAAAGGGUUAUGCAAGUGAAUGAUUGGUUGAGUGCUCUUUGCACGCACCUUUAGUUAGGUUUUUUUUUUGUUUUUUGUUUUUUUAUCUUUCUCUUGUCCUUAUCAUUAAAAAAAAUUAUAGGAUGAUUUUUGGUUAAAACUCAAAGUUUGAAACCUUUUUCAUUAAUUUUACUUAAAAUAAACUGAAUGAGAAAACUGACUUUUAAGUACUAGCUUGCUACAAAAAGUAAUGUUGCCUUUUCAGAUUAAUCAUCAGACAUUCAAAUUAAAAAUUACGUAAAGGUUGUAUCCUUUGGGAAUUUGGAAAACUAUACAAAUAUUAAACCAUGAAUAGAAUUCUAAUCAAAUCAUUAUAACUUUAUAUAAUUCCAACCAAAAGUUGAAAUAAAAAUACUAUAAUGUCUUUUCUUAUUUAAAAUAAGGUUUAUUAAUUGAAAUAUCCUAUGAAACUGCCAUUUAAUCUCAGUUUACUCUUUGAAAUUGGUUUUGUCUCAUUUUCCCCUUGAAUUGUAAUUUUCAACUCUUUUGGUUUCACUUCACCCUAUUCCGCUAAACAAUUGUUAUAUUCAAGGGUAUUUUAGACUUUCUACACAUCUAUUUACUUCUAACCUACCUACUAAACCAAUCUAAAUUCUAUUUUUGACAACCCUAUUUCAAAUCCCAUG
Molecule: long non-coding RNA, 3782 nt
Filed under: Malus domestica (apple)
Lineage: Eukaryota; Viridiplantae; Streptophyta; Magnoliopsida; Rosales; Rosaceae
Description: long non-coding RNA (MDOM_LNC014284)
Source: RNAcentral